GAUGAACGCUGGCGGCGUGCCUAAUACAUGCGAGUCGAGCGAACGGACGAGAAGCUUGCUUUUCUGAUGUUAGCGGCGGACGGGUGAGUAACACGUGGAUAACCUACCUAUAAGACUGGGAUAACUUCGGGAAACCGGAGCUAAUACCGGAUAAUAUUUUGAACCGCAUGGUUCAAAAGUGAAAGACGGUCUUGCUGUCACUUAUAGAUGGAUCCGCGCUGCAUUAGCUAGUUGGUAAGGUAACGGCUUACCAAGGCAACGAUGCAUAGCCGACCUGAGAGGGUGAUCGACCACACUGGAACUGAGACACGGUCCAGACUCCUACGGGAGGCAGCAGUAGGGAAUCUUCCGCAAUGGGCGAAAGCCUGACGGAGCAACGCCGCGUGAGUGAUGAAGGUCUUCGGAUCGUAAAACUCUGUUAUUAGGGAAGAACAUAUGUGUAAGUAACUGUGCACAUCUUGACGGUACCUAAUCAGAAAGCCACGGCUAACUACGUG
This 497-nucleotide ribosomal RNA is filed under the name uncultured bacterium. Its description in RNAcentral is "partial 16S ribosomal RNA". It matches the Rfam family "Bacterial small subunit ribosomal RNA", at positions 28 to 507 of the family's 1533-position model. The record is from RNAcentral.